GACGAACGCUGGCGGCGUGCUUAACACAUGCAAGUCGAACGGAAAGGCCCUGCUUUUGUGGGGUGCUCGAGUGGCGAACGGGUGAGUAACACGGGAGUAACCUGCCCUUGACUUUGGGAUAACUUCAGGAAACUGGGGCUAAGACCGGAUAGGAGCUGAUGCUGCAUGGGGGGGGUUGGAAAGUUUCGGCGGUUGGGGAUGGACUCGCGGCUGAUCAGCUUGUUGGUGGGGUAGUGGCUUACCAAGGCUUUGACGGGUAGCCGGCCUGGGAGGGUGACCGGCCACAUUGGGACUGAGGUACGCCCCAGACUCCAACGUGAGGCAGCAGUCGGAAAUCUUGCACAAUCGGCGCAAGCCUGAUGCAGCAACGCCGCGUUCGGAAUGACGUCCUUCGGGUUGUAAACCGCUUUCGCCUGUGACGAAGCGUGAGUGACGGUAAUGGGUAAAGAAGCACCGGCUAACUACGUG
Molecule: ribosomal RNA, 468 nt
Filed under: uncultured bacterium
Lineage: Bacteria
Description: partial 16S ribosomal RNA
Rfam family: Bacterial small subunit ribosomal RNA
Source: RNAcentral